This 777-nucleotide ribosomal RNA is filed under the name uncultured Neocallimastigales. RNAcentral describes it as "partial large subunit ribosomal RNA". It matches the Rfam family "Eukaryotic large subunit ribosomal RNA", at positions 20 to 645 of the family's 3401-position model. The record is from RNAcentral. Lineage: Eukaryota; Fungi; Neocallimastigomycota; Neocallimastigomycetes; Neocallimastigales.
UACUAGAGUAGCACUCGCAUAUCAAUAAGCGGAGGAAAAGAAACUAACAAGGAUUCCCCUAGUAACGGCGAGUGAAGCGGGAAGAGCUCAAAUUUGAAAUCUUAAAGGGUUUCCCUUUACGAAUUGUAGUUUAAAGAAGUGUUUUCUGUUGAGGUUUUGGUAAAAGUUCUUUGGAAUAGGACAUCAUAGAGGGUGAGAAUCCCGUAUUUGACCUUUACUUUCAACUUUGUGAUACACUUUCAAAGAGUCGGAUUGUUUGGGAAUGCAGUCCAAAAUGGGUGGUAAAUUUCAUCUAAAGCUAAAUAUUGGCGAGAGACCGAUAGCGAACAAGUACCGUGAGGGAAAGAUGAAAAGAACUUUGAAAAGAGAGUUAAACAGUACGUGAAAUUGUCAAAAGGGAAGCGUUUGACACCAGUGUUGUUUUUCUGAAAAUCAAUUAAGAGAACUGUUUAUGCUAAGCUGUUUAGACUUUAUCAGCUAUCUGUUUAGUUUUGAGCUUUUCUUUAAUGCACUUUUCAGUUAACAAGUCAACAUCAAUUUCUUUUGCUGUAAAAAAGCUUGAGGAAGGUGGCUUGAGAUUCGUCUUAAGUGUUUAUAGCCUCUUGCCUAUGCAGUCGGAGAGAUUGAGGUCUGCAGCGUAGAUCCUUCGGGGCUAAAUGCAUUUGUGCUAAGUUAUAAGCACUUUCAUAGACAACUUGUUGACUAUGAUUUGUCUUGUAGCUUACUCGCUUAUGUUAUUUUACCUACGCUUAGGAUGUUGAUAUCGCGCUCUCACUG